RNAcentral lists this long non-coding RNA (515 nucleotides) under Elaeis guineensis (African oil palm). RNAcentral describes it as "long non-coding RNA (EGUI_LNC012605)". Lineage: Eukaryota; Viridiplantae; Streptophyta; Magnoliopsida; Arecales; Arecaceae. The record is from RNAcentral.
CAGGUAAUUGAGCCAGGUCACACCUAAUUGAGCUUAACCAUAUUUUAAAGGUCAAAUUAAGUGAAAUUGGUUGAGUCCGAUUCAGCAGGGUUUGUCAUCCGGAGUUAUCAGGUCUUGCAUCAAAAUCAGAGUCCACCUCAAAGCAGAAUAAACAAAUCAAGAUAUCAAUGGACCCCACACCUUAUCCUUUUUGGCAUCAUCAGCCAGAAAAGAAACUAGAGAUGCAGAAAAUAAAUCAAGCAGUUAAUCUCUCCCAUCUAGUCAACCAAUCUAAAUUCUGGAUAUUUUGGUGUAAGGACCCCUAAAAGGCAAGCUACAGGACCCCAAAUUGAGCAAGAUUAGAUCCUACAGAAUUUUGAGAGAAGCAAAAAAGGAACAUAAUUUACAGAAUUAAAUUUGGAUUUCAGAUGAGGUGGCUACAGUAGGUUGAAGUUGGUAACAAUGUUGGACACAACAAGAAACACCCGAUACACCCAGAUUCUUCUUAGUGUUUCUUGGCACAAAGAUCUGAUAUG